Molecule: non-coding RNA, 97 nt
Organism: Triticum aestivum (bread wheat)
Lineage: Eukaryota; Viridiplantae; Streptophyta; Magnoliopsida; Poales; Poaceae
Source: Rfam
CAGAUGCAGACAAGGCGACAAAAGUUUAUUUGGAAUUUGCAUCUGAGGCAUUUGUGUCAUGUCACACUCUUUUUCACCUGGAGAUCCGAUGCAUCCC